ACAGAAUUGUGGUCUAGAACAACUAUAAGGCUUUCGUUUUGACCAAGCUGAGAUGUGAUCAGGCCGUAUAAAGUCCACGCCACCGGUGAACCCCAGUAAUACCACCUCCACCAGAUCGGUAUUUGCUGCAAUGUUCAGGUUAUUUUUAACUUGUUAGAUUCUAUUAACGUAAUUCAUUCAAACUAAUAAUCACUCUAGAUUAGUUGUCGUACCAUUCUGGGGAUCAUGAAACCAGAAAACAAGUUCCAUAACCUAAGGAAGAACGACAUAGUAAUGGCUGCAAUCUGAUAAUUGGGUGUGAGGGCUACAAGCAUCAUCCCGUAUAAUGUGAAAUAGACAAAGCACAUGAAUAUGAAGAAGUAGAACCAUAGAAACUUGUCUGCCGACCACUGGAACCCAAUCAUGGAGUAAAGCAGAAGAGUGUAUAUGAGUGUCUGUAUUCCUACAUAAACCACCUCAAUGGCCAACUUCAGCCAAAAUAAUGAUCUAGUUUUAGUUUUCCAUAUAAACACUUGCAAAUAUAAACAUAAAUAGUUAAACAGUUUUCUUGUACCUGGGCAAAUGUGUAAGGAAUUGUUGAAUACAUCCCUGAUGCUUUCUCACGAUAGAAAACCGUUCUUUCUAUAGACACCACAGACUGUACAACUGCAGUGUUGGUCCCACCAAGAAACACCACAGCAGCAUACAUAGCUCCCAUCAGAUUCAUUACAUCUUGUUGUUGGUUCCUGUUGAAGUCACGACCCAUAACCUUUCAGAAAUGCACGCCAUAAAUGAAAACUAUAUGUUCGAUUUCUAAUUUCUUACAAUUUUUGGCCUUUGUCCCAGAAAAUCACUCCAAAGAGUAUGCCAAUCACUGUCGUCAUGAAGAACCGGACAGCAUUAUACUGUGGAUGCCUCCAGUAAGACCAGUGUUGUUUCCAUAAACAAGCCAUGCAUUGUGUCCGAAAGGAUUGAGAGUACUUUGUAGGGAAGU
RNAcentral lists this long non-coding RNA (973 nucleotides) under Lactuca sativa (garden lettuce). RNAcentral's name for it is "long non-coding RNA (LSAT_LNC001863)". Lineage: Eukaryota; Viridiplantae; Streptophyta; Magnoliopsida; Asterales; Asteraceae. The record is from RNAcentral.